Molecule: ribosomal RNA, 552 nt
Filed under: Cutibacterium acnes
Lineage: Bacteria; Bacillati; Actinomycetota; Actinomycetes; Propionibacteriales; Propionibacteriaceae
Description: bacterial SSU rRNA
Rfam family: Bacterial small subunit ribosomal RNA
Source: RNAcentral
AAGGCCCUGCUUUUGUGGGGUGCUCGAGUGGCGAACGGGUGAGUAACACGUGAGUAACCUGCCCUUGACUUUGGGAUAACUUCAGGAAACUGGGGCUAAUACCGGAUAGGAGCUCCUGCUGCAUGGUGGGGGUUGGAAAGUUUCGGCGGUUGGGGAUGGACUCGCGGCUUAUCAGCUUGUUGGUGGGGUAGUGGCUUACCAAGGCUUUGACGGGUAGCCGGCCUGAGAGGGUGACCGGCCACAUUGGGACUGAGAUACGGCCCAGACUCCUACGGGAGGCAGCAGUGGGGAAUAUUGCACAAUGGGCGGAAGCCUGAUGCAGCAACGCCGCGUGCGGGAUGACGGCCUUCGGGUUGUAAACCGCUUUCGCCUGUGACGAAGCGUGAGUGACGGUAAUGGGUAAAGAAGCACCGGCUAACUACGUGCCAGCAGCCGCGGUGAUACGUAGGGUGCGAGCGUUGUCCGGAUUUAUUGGGCGUAAAGGGCUCGUAGUGGUUGAUCGCGUCGGAAGUGUAAUCUUGGGGCUUAACCCUGAGCGUGCUUUCGAUACGG